AUGGUGGUCUGCUUUUCCGGGUUUGUUCCGGGUUGUAGGUGGAAUCGGCAGGCCAAGUAACACCCGCAGAUUCUCCCCUGGUUGGUAGGGAGUGGAUUUUAAAGGGCAAAGGUAUCAGCAAAGAGGCAAAGUCCACUACCAUUCGCGAACCUCCGGCGAUUCCGUUUUCCGGUUCAUAACCUGGACGUGCGCGAGAACAUGACCGCCAGACGAUGGCUCGCGGGCACGUUUGCAAGAAAAGUGCGGAAAAACGACCCCCGUUCCGGCAGCUGCCAUCAGCGGUUCCGGCCGGUAAGCCGUAUCCUCUCA
Molecule: long non-coding RNA, 309 nt
Organism: Culex quinquefasciatus (southern house mosquito)
Lineage: Eukaryota; Metazoa; Arthropoda; Insecta; Diptera; Culicidae
Exons: 3
Source: RefSeq, a predicted model, not a curated record